Molecule: small nucleolar RNA, 97 nt
Filed under: Eutrema salsugineum
Lineage: Eukaryota; Viridiplantae; Streptophyta; Magnoliopsida; Brassicales; Brassicaceae
Description: Small nucleolar RNA snoR8a
Rfam family: Small nucleolar RNA snoR8a
Source: Rfam by way of RNAcentral
AAGAGAGCAGUGAUUAUAAAACAUAAGAAUAAAAAUUCUGAUCUGCUCAUAUCUGGGCAUGAUAGACUCAUUAUACACCCAUAGAAUAUGAGCUCUC